UACGUAGGUGGCUAGCGUUGUCCGGAUUUACUGGGCGUAAAGAGCGCGCAGGCGGUCGUGCAAGUCGCGUGUGAAAGCCCCCGGCUCAACUGGGGAGGGUCACGCGAUACUGCUCGACUCGAAGGCAGGAGAGGGUAGUGGAAUUCCCGGUGUAGUGGUGAAAUGCGUAGAUAUCGGGAGGAACACCAGUGGCGAAGGCGACUACCUGGCCUGUUUCUUGACGCUGAGGCGCGAAAGCUAGGGGAGCAAACGGG
This 254-nucleotide ribosomal RNA is filed under the name uncultured bacterium. RNAcentral's name for it is "partial 16S ribosomal RNA". It matches the Rfam family "Bacterial small subunit ribosomal RNA", at positions 524 to 776 of the family's 1533-position model. The record is from RNAcentral.